AAACAACCUCAAACAGUUUCUAAGUAAAUAUCUUCUCGAUGCUAACUCCAUGCAGAUUAUUACUCAUGUUCGGCCUCGAUGUUGCCUCCCUGCCUCGGUUCUUUUCUCUUCUCGAGUGAAUUACUGUCGGUCGUCGCCAAGAUGUCGUUAUUGAUCGUUUUUCUACAGAUACAUCAAGCCCAAUCUACCAAGCCGUCGCCGCAUGUACCGCGAGCGUCGUUAUUGAUCCUUUUUCUUGCUCUUCCAUCCGAAAGAAACAUGUCAGGCUACUCGAGUGACUGUUUCUAUUGUUUUGAUCUGUUCUUGCACUUUUGAAUAUCUAAUCAAGCAACUGAAAGCCUAUUUGAGGUUUGUGGUAGGGAUCGAGGGUUAUCUUUUCUAGAUUAUGUUCUUGCAACUUAAUAUUGUUGUCUCGAUCAGGUGACACUGAGAUCAAUCUGGUGAACAAACCUCUUGAACUGCCUCGAAUUGAUUAGUCUGAUGCUGGUGCAAUCUAUGGACGUGCCUGGGUGCAGGUCAUCCACCUCUGCGGCAGCAACAAGUUUGCACUAUCAGAAAAAUCGAUUGCAGCGUUUUGUAGCGGUAUGUACAUGCUUUCCUCUUUCACAUAGAUUACUAAUUAAUCUGCUCAACGGCACAAUUCUUGAUUAAUUGCCUCGCCGGAAGCGUCCUGCAUUGUACCUCCACAUGGCUCAUCCGUGACUGAUUUUGCAUAUCAUGGUGGCAUGUGCGUACACAAGCAAUUAACUAUAAUUACAAUUGAUUCACUACGUAAUCCCACCUGCUAGCUGGUGUGUAUGACACUUUACAAAGAAAGCAUGUGUGCUAUGUUAUGGUAUUUGUGGUACUAAAAACAUAUUAGGGUUCACUCGGUAUAAAAAAAGACACUUCCUAAAGAAAUAACUUCAGAUUUGAGACAUGUUAUGUCGAGUUUAAUCGUAUCUUAAUCUCAAAAAUGACUUAUCUGAAAAAUAUUGUAACAACAAUAUUCCAGUGUGUAUAAAAAUAUAUUUGUGCUAUGGUAUAGUCUUUUCGGUGCUAAAAUUUCAUUAGGGUUCUAUCUGUAUCAGAGAAAACGACAGUUUAAAAAAAUAUAACCUAAGAUUAAAGACAUAUUAUUUCAAGUUUAAUGGUAUAUGCAUCGAUCUCAAAACUAAUGUAUCCAAACAAUAUUAUAAAAGUAAUAUGCCAGUAUAUAUAAAAAUAUAUGUAUUCUGUGGUUGCGGUAGUAAACAAUAAUUAGAUUUAUUUCAGUAUCAAAGAAAAAGACAAACUUCAGCUCAUUCGUAUCUGUAGAAGUUAUCAGUAUAACUUCAUAUAAUUAAGCACACCUUAACCCCAUUGAAUUCUACAAUGGUUUGUAAUUACUUUAAACGGCUCCAAUUUAUUCUCCAUCAUGCAGAAAAAUAAAGUGGUUACUAAAUAUACAUCCACACUUUUUAUAUGAUUGAUUCCAGAUAUAUAUGCUUUUUUGGUUAACUUAUUUUCGUGCUAUCACAGUCCAAGAGCUGCUAUUGGGUAAUUCCACGUCUGACCUCACUCUUUAUACGUCGAGAUGAACGGCCAUUGCCGAAAUUGUUUUCAAUUUCCUCUUAAUACCCACAUAUUAUAAAACAAGUAUCCGCUGCCUUAAUUUAUAGGUUACAAACUUUUCCGCCCGGGUGUCAUAAAUUAAAGAACAUGUCCCACUAGAGUAUACUAUUUCACUAAUUUAAGAAUUUCAUGUAAAAAUAGCAGAUUCAGUUUGUUAAAACAUUUUAUAACUUAUUAUGUUUUAUAUUUUCUUAGUACGCACUUGGACAAUUAGUUUAUACGUAACUCCACUCAGUGUGUAACUGAGAUGCUCCUUCCAAGGCUCCAAAACACACACGUACGUAAAAUCAACCUUCUCAUGUUUUACAUGAUGUUACCCAUGGAGCAUAAGAUUAGUUUCCAAGUAACAUUCUCUCAUAGACGAUCCCUCUACAUACCUUGCUGUCAUAUCUGAUCUCCAAACUCUCAUGGAUAUUUCUAGCAAAUGAUAUACCUGAUGACAAACAGCAGUGAAUGUAUGAACCAUAUACUAUACCGGAUUUUUGAGGAGAAUAUAAGGGACAUAGACUUAUAAUUUGUAUUUAGACAUAUUUUAAAAAAUAUACUCAUUUAUUAUACUCCAUGGUAUAUAUCUUCCUCUUUGAAAGCAAUCCUGCAGCAUAAAAAAUGCCUCCCUAUUCCCCAAUGCAACAAAAAUCUCUCAAGCUCAAGCAAGCGGGUUGGGGCAUGAAUUCCGUGUGUGCAAGGAGCUUAUUGCAUGAAAAUUGUUUUCCACAUCCUGAUCAAGUUCGUUUUGUCACAACCUAUUUCUUCGUUUUUAUAACUACCCCCACCCCCUCCCCACUUUCAUCAAAAUCCACUAGGGACAGCACCUCGAGACUGAUAGUGUGCCGCUGCCUGAGACAUGCAAUAGACAGCGACCAUCAAUUCAUCUUGAAGGCCAGCGGCAACCGGUAAAUACAUAGCACCAUUGUUUUUAUUUGUUGUGAGCUGAGAGUUGGGUUGUCUAUUGGUGACAAGGAAUAAUUGGGAUGAGUAGGGCAGAAAAAUAACUCCCCAAGAAAAAAACAUGUACAGGUGGUUACAAAAAGUUGCCUUCUAGGAGGUAGUUCAACUCUUAUAGUACCCCAAAGACUGAAAUAGUCAACCAAGAAGUUGUUUAGAUCAUUCUGAGUUCCCAAACAACAUAGAGCUUGGGUACGGGUUUUCCCCACAUUAUUGGUCACUAGGUUUUAGACAGUGGAUUUGGUAAGCACGCAAGAUUUAAUCACAGUAUUAUGAAAUGAAUUGAUAGUACAUUUUUGUGCUAGAAAAUGUACUUAUGUUUUAUUGAAACUAUGUUACCCAAUUAUUAUUGCAAUGAAUAAGUUAGAGAUCUAGGAAACUCGGUCAGUAAACACAGAAAGGAACCUGAAUAUAUCAUUCAUGUAGUCAUGUACUAACUUUUACUUUAAUUUAUAUUGUCAGUAUAGAUUUACCAAACAAUCCCAAAAACUAUAACAAGAAAAUAGAAUACUAGUGUAAUGUAUUUUGUAAAAUAUGCAUGUAUGUAAUUUGUGGAAAAAAUGGAUGAUUUCCUCCACAAUGUAAAUAAUAUAUUAAUGAAAGGAAAAGUAACUUAUUAAUAUUUCAAUGAAAAAUCAUGUUUCUCUUUAAUUUAUAUCUUACAUAGGCUAGCCCGUGCAGAUGCACGGGUUGACGACUAGUUAUAUUAAUCAAGUAUAUCACGAUAGUUAUUUUGUUGAGUUUACUCCCACUACUAUGAAUGAUAAGAAUUUUCCUUGUGUGGAUAGUAAUAAAAAUUAUAUGCAUGUGCAUCAUGAAAAGAAUGUUGUAUGUGAUAGUUAUAUUGUUGAAUUCCUUCAUGAUGCUACUGAAAGUUAUUAUGAGGGAGGAACAUAUGCUUGUAGGAAUUCCAAUAAUAUCAAGUUUCCUCUCUAUGUGUUCAAAGUUUUGUAGUUAUGCUUAUUUUGCUUUCCUAUGCAAGAUAAUUCUUGCUACAAUAAAUUUUUUGCUUGCAAAAUUCCUAUGCAUAGGAAGUGGGUUAUACUUAAAUGUGCUUGUCAUGUGCUUCAUGAUGCUCUCUUGCAUGUUUCAAUUACUACUUUUUAUGUGAGCAUAAUUGAAAUCAUCAUGCCUAGCUAAAAGGCAUUAAAGAAAAGCGCUUGUUGGGAGACAACCCAAUAUUUAUACUUUCUGUUUUUGAGUGUUCACAUGAUUAAUCUGCUGUAUUAAUCAUUUUUAUAGCUUUUAUUUUAGUAAAGUGCCAAGUAAAGCCUUUGGGAUAGUGUGGAUACUUGCUUGUUUGAAUCUGUGCACAAACAAAAACUAUUAUGUCUGGUGUAGAAUUUCUAUGAUUUCACAAGAGCGUGAAAAAAUUCUGACAUUUUUACAUAGAUUUUGUAUGCAAAUGUUGUGAGUUAUCCGAAUUGUUAGAGCCGUGGAAGUAUGCAUUGCAUGCAGAUCUUCACAGACUAUUCUGUUUUUGACAGAUUGUGUUUUUCACACAUAGUUUGUUUGUUUUAGUGUUUCCAUAGCUUAUAUUGUGUGAUAUAAAUUAUGGAAAUGAUAUAAUACAUUAGGAAUCAUCUAAGAACAAUUAUGAAUCUUGUCUUGGCAUUACCUAAGUGAACAAUUAUCACUACUAGGGAAAAGCUUAUACACAGAAUCUUACCAAUAGCGCUUGUAAAAAUAAAACGCUACUGCUAAUUACCAGUAGCGCGUGCACCUGAACCGCGCUACAGAUAAGUGUGUAGCAGGAGCGCGUGUCCUAGGAAAAACGCUACUACUAAACUUCCCACUACUAAGCCGGUAGGCUACGAAUACUAGUAGCGCGUGCCCCUGAACCGCGCUACUGCUACGUUUAUUGUAGCAGCGCGUGCACCUGAACCGUGUUACCGCUAAGUUUAUAGCACUAGCGUGCUUUGCAGAAAGCACUAUAGCUAACUUAGCUAUAGCGUUGUCUCUUUACUCGCGCUACAGCUACUUUUGACUUACCCCUCGCGCGGUUUCUCUCCCUGGCCCCCCGGCCAACACUUCUUCCCCAAAUUCCCUCGCCCCACUUCGCUGCCGUUGCCUCACUUCACCGUCGGCGACCCCCCUCCCUGUGCGCCCCUACCCAGCAGCGGCUACCCCCUGCUUGUGUGCCGCCCCCCUCCCACUUGCUCCCUCCCGGCCGUCGCCCCAGCCCCACCGGCUCUCGCAUCUCGCCCGCGUCGGUGACCCCCUCCCCUUCCACCCCCCUGCCCAGCACCGACAACACCCUCCCCGGCGCCCUCCUUCGCACCCUGCCGCCCGGCACCCCGGCGCCCUCCUUCGCACCCUGGCGCCCUGCACAGUGGCGCCUUCCGGUCAGCUUUUUCUGUUUUUUUCUUCUUUUUUGCUGUUAGGUUUAGUGCUAGAUUAGAUUAAGUUAGUCUAUUGUUUUAGUUAAUUAGUCAUAAUUAAAAUAUGUAAAAAAAGAGGAAAAAAGAGGAAGAACAAAAGAAGAAUAAGUAGAAGGAGGAAGAAGAAGAUGAAGAAGAAGAAGAAGAAGAAGAAGAGGAGAAGGAAGAAGAAGAAGAAGAAGAAGAAGGAAAAGAAGAAGAGGAGGAGGAGGAGGAGGAGGAGGAGGAGGAGAGGAGGAGGAUGUUUUUGCCAGAAUGUUGAUUCAUUUCCGUUCCGGCAAAUUUCACGCACUCUAUUUGUCUAGUUUGUAGCAAAGGUCAUGCCGAAAUUUUUCGUGAAUUUCGGCAUGACUUGUGCUACAAACUAGGAAAUAUCGAGUGCACGGGAUUUGCCGCAAUGGGAAUGAAUCAACAUUCCUGCCAAACAUUUACCUUUUUAUGUCAUUAUUCAUUUUAUUAGGUCUAUAAUUAAUUGACUAGAUUUAAUCAUAGGAAACAUGGCUAGGCAGACGCCUAUUUGAACCUUCUCGAUGAGUAACGGUUCUUCCAGGGCCCACCUGUCACAUCCGAGACUGACACACGCAUAGAGACCGGCGUUGAGACUGACAUCGAUGCCAAGACUGACACCAGUGCCGAGACUGCUGCUGAGACUGACACCGGCGCCGAGACCGGCACCGAGCAUGGAGAAGCCGGUAUAGAACCGAAACCAAAGAGGCAACGGCGCCCAAACAAGCUCAUCACUAUAGACUGGUGGUCAACUACUAGACGACAAUUUUGAGCCAAAAGAGCAUGUGGAAGCGCAAGCGUGCUUCGGCAAUCAAAUAGGCUACAUCCUAUGGGCAACCGCCACCAUCAACGAUGCGAAACUAUGGAAGAUACCAGAUAUGAGGCAGUCCCUCCUAACGAAGCUGUACCAGGUGUUCUUGUUCCCGGGCCAGGAUGAAAUCAGUUAUAAAAAUCUAGAAAAAGACCCGACAAUGAAGAAGAUAAACAGACGCGCCAUGGGCAAGUUUAGCGGCGCAUUGUCUGUCUAGAAAGUAAGGGUGAAAGCAAGGAUCAUCGACAAAAAAGAACCCCACUCCGAGAUUGUAAAGGAUAACCCGACAAUUACGAAAAAGCGGUUUGAAAUAUUCAAGGCGGCUUGCAUUGUCGAAGCCGCCAAAGAAAAGUCGGAGUACAUGAAGGGGCUUCAAGAGAGGAACAUGGGGUGCCACCAACUCGGAAGCCGUGGUUACGUGGGGAAGAGGUCCAUAUGGGCCAAGGAGGACGCGAAAAGCGAAAGUAUGGGCAUCCCAGACCCCUUGGCGGACUUCACCGUCCCGCGGGAGCGUGACGUCCUCAGGGCCCGGUACCAUUGGGACCCAGUGAAGAAGGUUUUCGAGACGGACGCGGUCACGACGGAGUUCAUGAGACUGCUUGUAAUUUUUAGCUUAUGAUCAAUUCUACUGCACCUUUAGACAUAUUUGUGAACGAUCCUUGUUCCUUUUGCAGAGAGAGCAGCACAAGAUCGCGGCCGAAAGUGACUCGCCGUCGGAGGCUUUGGCAUGGCCCAAGUGGGACAACCCAUUCAACCGGGCCUUGAACAUAUUGAAAGGACUCCCGGUGGACACUCGCCACGUGGAAGAAGUACUACCGUGAGACCACGGAGGAGAGAAAGGAAAGACAGAGGUUAAAUGAAGAAAAUAACGACAAGAAGGUUGCGAUUGCGUUCGUAGAAGCGGUAGCUGCCGCAAACAUGAGAUUGCAGCUUCGUAUGGUGUCUUGGUUCCGGAUAUCGUCAGGUGGGGUAGUAAAAAUCCAAAUAAAGAGGCAGCGGACUUUCCGCUUUCCAACUUCUUCGGGAGCAGCUCGACUAUCUUUGCACCAGCACCUGCUCCUGCACCGGCUCCCGCACCUGCUCCUGUGCCAGCUCCUACACCGGCUCCCCCACCUGCUCGUGCACCAGCGCCUGCAUCAGCUCCUGCACCGGCUCCCGCAUCUGCUCUUGCAUCGGCUCUUGCACCAGCUCCUGCACCAGCUCCUGCACCGCCUCCCGCACCUGCUCCUACACCAGCUCCUGCACUGGCACCCGCACAUGCUCAUAGCAGCCCAUCCUCCGUCUCGGACGUGCUCGGCGGUGCUUCGUCUUUGGCUGAGCUCGACGACCUCACGGUACCUGUCACACCGGCCCUCUUCAAUAAAUGUGUAAUGUCCUGUUUUCGUUGCCUUUCGGAUGUCUCACGUCGCAGACAUGUCUUUGCAGGCUGACGUUACCCCUUCACCAUAUUGUACACCAUCCGCGGCCAAAAGAUGGACAUGGGGAAGGCGACGAUAGUGAAGCCGAAAACAAUUGUUCCACAGUCGUCCGAACCCCACUGACGUCUUCAAGGUUUCCGUGGCCAAUGUCAAACCGGGCCACGAGAAUUUGGCUCAUCCAUUACUAGGGGAGACGAUGACGAGACCCCUCGGUGGCUUGGAGAUUGCAAGAGGUGGGUCAUGUGGUGGCCAAAGAGUUUGCUUCAUCUGGAGGCGGUCGGAAGCACACCCACGACCAUGCAGCCUCAGCAAGAUAUGAACAUGAACACCCCACCUACCCAAUUAGCGUCGUCUGUCGUGCCGGGUGAUAGCGGACGGGGUGAGGAAGAGGCUCCAUUAGUCGCAGAUGACGUUGCCGCCAACAAAGAAGCAAUGCAUGAUAUUGAUGUCAUCGAUGAGGAUGACGAUGACACUCUACAGUAUCUCAAUACUGGCGCCUAUGACGACGGAGGAUUGAUGGCUAACAGUAUGAGUACUUAGGGUUUGAGCAUCAUGAGUCAGUGCCUGAAUUGCCACCUCCGGAGGCUGAACGUAUUAUAGACGACCCUCCAGUAGCAAAGAAGCAUAGGAAUAGAGCGAGGAAAGGAAACAAUGAUGCUUCUAUGAUCACUCUAGUUAGGGCAUUUUGGGUACGAUGAACUUUGUAUGAUUAUGAUAUGUUGCUUCUAUUUUUGCCAAGUCUAUCUAUUUCUGUUGCUCAACUAUAUAUAUUGCAUAUCAUCAACUCAUCGUGUGUCGAUGCAGGUGCAUAGAUCAUCGAUGGCGAAGAGUGCUAUGCCAGGAGUAUACGACGAGUGGCCGGAGUGUCAGACCCAGGUGUACAAGUUUCCGGUUUACGAGCGACAGCCAGUAGUUAGUUUAGGUUCACGCAUGUGCGAUAGAGGGAUACGAACUGAGCCUCAAGAAGUACCACAUUAUGUAUGAUGAGACAAGUCAUGUAACUUGUAUAGCUAUAUCGUGAUUAUGACAUGACGAC
This 8190-nucleotide long non-coding RNA is filed under the name Hordeum vulgare. Its description in RNAcentral is "long non-coding RNA (HVUL_LNC000490)". Lineage: Eukaryota; Viridiplantae; Streptophyta; Magnoliopsida; Poales; Poaceae. The record is from RNAcentral.